UGCAGUCGAACGAUGACGGCCGUGCUUGCACGGUCUGAUUAGUGGCGAACGGGUGAGUAACACGUGAGUAACCUGCCCUCCACUUCGGGAUAACCUCGGGAAAUCGUGGCUAAUACCGGAUAUGAGCACUCAUCGCAUGGUGGGUGUUGGAAAGAUUUAUCGGUGGGGGAUGGACUCGCGGCCUAUCAGUUUGUUGGUGAGGUGAUGGCUCACCAAGACGAUGACGGGUAGCCGGCCUGAGAGGGCGACCGGCCACACUGGGACUGAGACACGGCCCAGACUCCUACGGGAGGCAGCAGUGGGGAAUAUUGCACAAUGGGCGAAAGCCUGAUGCAGCGACGCCGCGUGAGGGAUGACGGCCUUCGGGUUGUAAACCUCUUUCAGUAGGGAAGAAGCGAGAGUGACGGUACCUGCAGAAGAAGCGCCGGCUAACUACGUGCCAGCAGCCGCGGUAAUACGUAGGGCGCAAGCGUUGUCCGGAAUUAUUGGGCGUAAAGAGCUUGUAGGUGGCUUGUCGCGUCUGCCGUGAAAACCCGAGGCUCAACCUCGGGCGUGCGGUGGGUACGGGCAGGCUAGAGUGUGGUAGGGGAGACUGGAACUCCUGGUGUAGCGGUGAAAUGCGCAGAUAUCAGGAAGAACACCGAUGGCGAAGGCAGGUCUCUGGGCCAU
Molecule: ribosomal RNA, 669 nt
Filed under: Brachybacterium sp.
Lineage: Bacteria; Bacillati; Actinomycetota; Actinomycetes; Micrococcales; Dermabacteraceae
Description: bacterial SSU rRNA
Rfam family: Bacterial small subunit ribosomal RNA
Source: RNAcentral